CGAUAGUGAGAAGCUUGCUUCUCACGAAAGUGGCGCACGGGUGCGUAACGCGUAUGCAACCUACCUUAAUCUGGGGGAUAGCCCGAAGAAAUUCGGAUUAACACCGCAUAACAUCAUUGAAUAGCAUUAUUUAAUGAUCAAAUAUUUAUAGGAUUAAGAUGGGCAUGCGUGUCAUUAGCUAGUUGGCGGGGUAACGGCCCACCAAGGCGACGAUGACUAGGGGAUCUGAGAGGAUGACCCCCCACACUGGUACUGAGACACGGACCAGACUCCUACGGGAGGCAGCAGUAAGGAAUAUUGGUCAAUGGAGGCAACUCUGAACCAGCCAUGCCGCGUGCAGGAAGACAGCCCUCUGGGUCGUAAACUGCUUUUAUUCGGGAAUAAACCUACUUACGUGUAANUAGCUGAAUGUACCGAAGGAAUAAGGAUCGGCUAACUCCGUGCCAGCAGCCGCGGUAAUACGGAGGAUCCAAGCGUUAUCCGGAUUUAUUGGGUUUAAAGGGUGCGUAGGCGGCUUAUUAAGUCAGGGGUGAAAGACGGUGGCUCAACCAUCGCAGUGCCUUUGAUACUGAUGAGCUUGAAUACACUAGAGGUAGGCGGAAUGUGACAAGUAGCGGUGAAAUGCAUAGAUAUGUCACAGAACACCGAUUGCGAAGGCAGCUUACUAUGGUGUCAUUGACGCUGA
This 685-nucleotide ribosomal RNA is filed under the name Pedobacter sp. RNAcentral's name for it is "bacterial SSU rRNA". It matches the Rfam family "Bacterial small subunit ribosomal RNA", at positions 67 to 749 of the family's 1533-position model. The record is from RNAcentral. Lineage: Bacteria; Pseudomonadati; Bacteroidota; Sphingobacteriia; Sphingobacteriales; Sphingobacteriaceae.